This is a long non-coding RNA of Nanorana parkeri, 131 nucleotides long. RefSeq lists it as uncharacterized. Lineage: Eukaryota; Metazoa; Chordata; Amphibia; Anura; Dicroglossidae. The transcript has 3 exons. The record is from RefSeq and is a predicted model, not a curated record.
UUCAUGAGAACCUCUGCAUGCACAGCAGCUCAGUGCACAUCCUAUCAGUUUAUUCAUGUCAGGUCACAGGUCUACAAACACUUGCACAUCCAUCCCGCAGUUUUUCAAGAGAAGAAGAGAUAAAGACAGCA